Molecule: transfer RNA, 70 nt
Filed under: Chitinophagaceae bacterium
Lineage: Bacteria; Pseudomonadati; Bacteroidota; Chitinophagia; Chitinophagales; Chitinophagaceae
Description: tRNA-Leu
Rfam family: tRNA
About the family: Transfer RNA (tRNA) molecules are approximately 80 nucleotides in length.
Source: RNAcentral
AAGCCUGUAGCCCAACGGGAGAGGCAAUAGUUUCAGAAACUAUGUAGUAACAGUUCGAAUCUGUUCAGGC